UCAGAAAAACAGAAGUGAAAGACACAAAUGUAUUUCUUCUAUUAUUUUAGAUUGAACUUAGACAAGGCCUCAUGCAUGCUUGGCAAAUACUAUGCCACUUAGCUAACCUCCCUCUAUAUUUUAUUUGAGACAAAUAUAUCAUUUAGUUGUCCAUAUUGACCUUCAAUUUAUGAUCCUAUUUCUUUCCUUUCUUAAUAGGUUGGAUAGCUGGGAUGGUGUCACCUGGCUCAACCAAGUUAUCACUCUUAAAACUGAAAUGGGUACACUGUGAUAUCAUCAAAGAUUCCACAUUAAUCCUAUGGCUAUGAGACUCAAGUGUGUGACGACUCCACCUAAUUGAAGCACUCUGGAGAUAAUCAGCAUGCCAGCAUCACACCACUACAUGCUCUGAAAUUAUGCAAAAGCAUUAGAGUCCUCAUCACCCAGAGUUCCUAUCUUUCCCAUUUCUAAAGACAGGUUCAUCAUUUGCUCUGUUGCUAGAACUACAUCUAAUUGCUUUCAAGAUGAAAACUACAAGGCACGUGCCAUUUUACAAAGGUAAAUAUAUACUAAACACAUCUCCAUUUUAAUUAUGCACCUAUAGGAAAUAUAAUCU
RNAcentral lists this long non-coding RNA (595 nucleotides) under Mus musculus (house mouse). RNAcentral's name for it is "lincRNA-EC86". Lineage: Eukaryota; Metazoa; Chordata; Mammalia; Rodentia; Muridae. The record is from RNAcentral.